GACGAACGCUGGCGGCGUGCUUAACACAUGCAAGUCGAACGCUGAAGCUCAGCUUGCUGGGUGGAUGAGUAGCGAACGGGUGAGUAACACGUGAGUAACCUGCCCUCUUCUUUGGGAUAACGCCCGGAAACGGGUGCUAAUACUGGAUAUUCACUGAUUCUCGCAUGGGGGUUGGUGGAAAGGUUUUUUCUGGUGGGGGAUGGGCUCGCGGCCUAUCAGCUUGUUGGUGGGGUGAUGGCCUACCAAGGCUUUGACGGGUAGCCGGCCUGAGAGGGUGACCGGUCACAUUGGGACUGGGAUACGGCCCAGACUCCUACGGGAGGCAGCAGUGGGGAAUAUUGCACAAUGGGCGAAAGCCUGAUGCAGCGACGCCGCGUGAGGGAUGGAGGCCUUCGGGUUGUAAACCUCUUUCGCUCAUGGUCAAGCCGCAGCUUUGGGUUGUGGUGAGGGUAGUGGGUAAAGAAGCGCCGGCUAACUACGUG
RNAcentral lists this ribosomal RNA (482 nucleotides) under uncultured bacterium. RNAcentral describes it as "partial 16S ribosomal RNA". It matches the Rfam family "Bacterial small subunit ribosomal RNA", at positions 28 to 507 of the family's 1533-position model. The record is from RNAcentral.